UAGAUAUUGCUUUGAAUUGGUGACCUUU
This 28-nucleotide non-coding RNA is filed under the name Rattus norvegicus (Norway rat). The record is from RNAcentral. Lineage: Eukaryota; Metazoa; Chordata; Mammalia; Rodentia; Muridae.